UCUAAAUGAGAGGGAGGGGAAAAUGUAUCUAUUUUAGACUGAUAUACAGUAUAUAUAUACAGCAUGCACAUCCUCUCCUCAUCAGUGAGCAGCACAUCACGGUCAGAAAACUUGUCAGAGAUUAACAGAAAAUUAUAACCAAAUCAUCAUCAAUGACUGAAUUCAGGAUUGUUCUGGUGGGUAAAACUGGAUCAGGAAAGAGUUCAUCAGGAAACACUAUACUGGGCAGAGAUGCGUUUGAAGUGGCUCAAUUUCCUGUGUCUUUAACAGAAAAAUGUAGUGUGGGUCAAGUAGACAGAAUCUCAUUGAUCGACACUCCUGGACUCUUUCACACGUCCAUGACUGAAAAACACGUCAAAGCUGAGACUGAGAAGAGUCUGAAGAUGUCUGCUCCCGGUCCCCAUGUGUUUCUGAUGGUGAUCAAACUCGGGAGAUUCACCGAUGAGGAGAAGAAAACAGUGAAAUGGAUUCAGGAGAACUUUGGAGAAGAUGCUAAGAGAUUCACCAUUCUGUUGUUCACUGGAGCUGAUCAAUUAAACAAACCGUUAGAUGAUUUUCUACUGGAAAACCCAGAGCUGAAGACAUUAGUGGAUGAAUGCGAGGGAAGAUAUCAUGCUUUCAAUAAUGUGGAGAAGAAUCAAGAUCAGGGCAUUAAACUGCUGGAGAAGAUCAACACAAUCGUAGAGGAAAAUAGAGGAGAAUACUACACCAUUGAGAUGUUCAAGAAGACUCAGAGAAAGAUAUUCAAGAGAGAAACACAGAUAAUACUACUUGCUGUUGUUGCUGUAACAACAUGUUUUGCUUAUGGAUUAUAUCAAACAAGAGCAUUUUGGUGUGCCUUGCAUUUACAUUCGUAUUUCAAAAGCAUUUACUGUGUGCGAAAAAUGGAAAAAUGAAAUGAAAUUACGAGUAAAUGAAAAUAAAAGUAACUAUAAUAAUGUCACAAUCUCACACGGGGGAGCACGGGAACCAGGAACGAGGAGACGAGGAAUUAGCAACACGGGAGUUUAAUAAACACAAUAGGGAAACAGAUCACAGGCAGGGUUGACACUCAGGUUGACACUCACGUUGACGUUCAAAGACCGACAAACACUAACUGAAAGGACUGGGGUUUUAAAGACAGGACAAUCAAGGAACUAAAGGAGACACACCUGGAAUCAAAUUAACCAAUCAAGGGGAGACAGAAACUAGGUCACAGGGCACACAUGGGGAGCAAAACACACACAAGACAGUCCAGGGACGUGACAAAUAACAUGAUAAGAAAGAGCAUUAUUAUUGUGUAGAAAACACAGUCAGACACUGUGCUGCUGUAACGCAGUACUCCGCACAUUCCUCUAGAAAGACGGGCAGCUUUUCCAUGUUUGGCAGAGACUCAGGUUUGUGAUGUAUGUUAUAUUUUGUGUUAAAACAUUCUCAGAAUUUGUUUGUCCAUUAUUAGAGAAAGUGCAGCUCUAUCUGAGUUUAGUUUUGAUCACAUUGGCUACAUUUACAUGCAACCAAAUGAUCAGUUUGUAAUCAGAUUGAAGGGGGAAGAUGUUUUCUCUGUUUUGGAGGGAUGAUCAUUUUUAAAUCAUACCCUAUUUAUUGCAUCAAAAUUUAUUAAUACUUUACUAUAUUGAAGGCUGGAUAAUUUUAUCAGUUGUUUAUUAUUCAUGCAACAAUACAUAACUACAAUAACUUUGUCUAGUACUCUUAUCAAUGUUUAUAGCAUGAUUUGUGAAAAUUUAACUAUACUGAAUGACGUAGCUUUCUUCAUGGCUAGUUUUUGCUUAUUUCAUUUCAUUCUGUACCCUACUUGUUCUACAGAUCUGUGUGUACUAGCGUUAAAUGCUACUGUUUUUGACAGCAUUGAUAACGUUUCUGACAGAUAAUAUCAUGAUCAUUUUUGCGCUUCCCUUACCGAAUGUGCUAUCCUGUCAGCAAUAACCUGUCCAUGGGCUUUUUUAUUGCUGUCAGUUUAAGUGCCGGCGAUGCACUGUAGAUAUUGCUACUAAAACAAACAAAAAGCUAAAAAUAAACUGAAAUUAUUUCCAGUCUUUUGCAAAUAAGAUAAGAUAAAGAUAUCUCUGAUUCUAAACUACAACUUCCGACUUUAUCAACUUUCUAAAGUGUUAAAUUAAGUGGAAAAGACAAGUCUAAAAACACUUAUAAUAACUGGAUCUGGCACAGAGGCUGUGCACGUGCCCUCACACACAACUCUCUGAAGACUCGUUCACUCUGCUAGCGUCUCGCAGCGAUCAUUUUCACACCGGGGACGCUAAAUAUUCUUGCAAACUGUCUAAACUGAAUUAUACAUGUCAUGCUAUUAUUAUACAUGAAUUAUACAUGACAUUCAUACGAGGAGUUUAACAGCAAUUAGUCAUUCAGAGAACAAAUUAUUUAUUUUUGAACAUGAAAAAAUUUACCGAGGUCCGGACAUCGGUGGCCUCAUAGCUGGCUACGGGCCUGCCUCCCACCACUCCUUGAUUCAGAUUCUCAUCCACACAUGACUGGUUUUGGGCUCGGGGAGGGGCAUUUUUACUGCGUGAUAAAUAUGAGCAGCAUGGGCACAGUGGUUUAUAUAUAUUUAUCCAGAAAUGGAUAAAUAUUAAUUCUGCUGUUAAAAACAAAUAAAGAAACAGUGUAGGAGAGUGGUUAUUAUGUGCAAACAGUGAGAAACUCUAUAUUUGCGCAUUGUGUGCAUGUAAAAAAAAAUCUAUUCCGAUUUGAAGCUUGUGACAUAUAAACGCACACAUCAACCCAAUCACUUUAUUUAGUAAUCAUGUAAACACUACAUUGAGAUUCAUCAAUCGGAAUGAAUUCAGUCCGACUGAACCAAAAAUUGUGCAUGUAAACACAGCCAGUGUGGACACAACCUCUCUUCCUGUGGAUGCCAUGUUUUCCUGUGUUUGCCUGUUUCUGUAAUCAGGUUGUGCCAAUAAAGUAAUGAUAUGCUGUGGUUUUGUCCACUGUAGGUAGUAAACGGUGGCUCUCCUAUUUAAGGAAAAUGCAGCAGAAACAGCUUUUCAAAUCUUCAUUGCACAGUUGCAUAGUUCAAUAAAAUAGUAAACAUUCAAUUAAUUUGGAAAGUUGUCUGUCAAAUGCCAAUGUCAGCAAUUAAUUUAAAUUUAAAUAAAUUGUUAAAAAUAUGAUUUUUUUUUAAAUUCCAGAACAAAUGAAUAAAUAUCCAUUGUAUUUUAUUUUAGCAUUAUUUUGUAUGCGUUUUUCAUUUUUAGAAUGAUUUUUGGGUCACUCAACAAUAGUAGGUGUCAUCUUUUAGAGAAAUAGUGCAACAGAAAAUAUCUUUAUAAGCAGACAUGGAGAUCCAGAAUAGUUUUUUUUAAUUAUUAGGAUAUACUUAUCCUUCUUUCUAAAUCAUUAAAAAAAAAAAAAACAUUUGAUUUACUCUUGGGGGGAAAAAAACAUCAAGUUUUUAUCCUUUAAUUAACAAAAUGUGUUUUCUUAUGAUAGAGAAGAGAAACCAUAUCGGAAGAGCAGCAUGGAACAAUAUCCUCCAAAGCCAGAAGUGAACAUGAUGCUGUUGGGAAUGACUGGAUCAGGAAAGAGUGCAUCAGGAAACACCAUCAUAGGUGGACAUAAAAAACCAUUCAAAGAAGAUUUUUCUCCUUCAUCUGUGACCAAAGUCUGUACAACAGAAAUUGCAGAGGUAAACGGACAAACGAUCACUGUGAUCGACACUGUAGGACUCUCUGAUACAGAUGUGGAGAUUACAGAUGCUCAAACUGAAAUAGAGAAGAAAUUACAGCGUACAAAUCUUGAUGCGUUUCUGCUGGUGAUCAAACUGGUUGAGCCUUUCACAAACGAGAAAAGAAAAGCAGUGAAAUGGAUCCAGGAGAAUUUUGGAGCAAACGUCUUAAAACACACAAUAGUGCUCUUUACUCAUGGAGAUGCAUUAAGAGAGCAAAUAGAGAUAUAUGUGAGUAGAUCUCAGUCACUGCGGUCAGUAGUUGAGCAGUCUUCAGGAGGUUAUCAUGUGUUUAAUAACACAGAUGAAGAUCAAUCUCAGGUCACUGAGCUUCUGAAAAAGAGUGAGUCACUGAGGAUGAAGAAUAAAUACAGCAGAUACACUGAGCAGGACUAUGCAGAGGCUCAGAAAGCCCUUCUACGCAAAAAAUGUGCUACAGGAGCUGCAGUAGGAGGAGGAGUAGGAGCAGUAGUAGGUGGAGGAGCAGCAGCAGGAACAGCAGCAGCAGGAGGAGCAGCAGUAGCAGCUGAGAUUGGAGUCGCAGCACUAAUAGGAGCAACAGGAGGUGCAGCUCUGCUAGCAAUGGGAGUUGCUACAGGAGUGUAUUUUUUGGCAAGAAAAUAUAAAAAAGAUAAUCGUGACUGAAAGGCUCUAAGCAUCAUUACAAAUAUAUAUAUAUAUAUAUAUAUAUAAUGGGUAAAACAAACAUAUUUGAAAUAAGCAUUCCCUGCCAUUGUCACAAAUCUCACCUCUGUGAUUUCUCGCUCUCUUGAGAUUUCCUAUAGACCAUUUCAAGGAAGUAAACAAUAACAAACGUGUCGAAAUCUCAAGUACAACACAUAAUUUUUAAAUCCAGUGAAAACAGAACAGUUAAUGUAUUUACAAAAAAUGAAAAUAAAGUCUGUAGAAUUACCAUACAUACCGAAUCAAGAAUUUGAGAUGCAAGAUUUUCACACGCAACAUUAAAUGUUUGCCUGAAAUAUCUUAUCCAGACCAGAGUACAGAUCUGGCCAUUCAAAAUGCGUCCAAAUAAGAACGUUCUUUUUUAAUGACCUAAAAUUAACGCUCCCAGAACAUUCCCUGCAGGUUAUUUUUAGUUGUCAUAACCAUGUGAACUAAUUAAAACUUUGCACAUUUUUCUGAUUAUUCUAAUGCUAAAAUGUGUUUUAUUUUUGCAGAAUUUCAUGUCUGAAAUAAACUUUUAAUAAAGUGUAGACAUCAGUAGUCAAAUCGCAUUAUAAUGAUAAUAUAAUUAAAAUUUUAUAGCUGAAAUUAAGCCGAGGUUAUGCAUAGUCUGCAAAGCAUACCAUAAACACUGGGUUUGUUUGUAUGUUUCUUUACAGCGCUUUUCUUAUAUGUGCCAUAUAACUCGGAUUAAUUAAUUUAAAGAUUAACGGUCAUUUUGUUUUACUUACUGACUAACACUCGUUUGUUGAUCUCUUUAUUGAAUAAUUACUUAUAAUUAAUAAACAUUCGAGAGUAAAUACUGUGAUUUCAGAGAGAUUUGACAAGUAAUUGAAGAGAACAUGAUAUUAACGGAGAAGUUUUUGUUGGUUACGGACCAAAAGAGAGAAGCACAUCAUCGUUAAUUUCAGUGGUAAGAAAUGAAUGUAAUAUUAAAGUCAAAUAAAUGUUAUUCAUUUGUAAUGUCUGUAAAAAUAAAAUUCACAUUUUUAAAACCCAAUAUUUUGUUGAAAUCAUUGUAAUUUGGUGCUUAAGAAAUAUAAAUAACUGGGGUAUCAUAUGGUACAUGGUAGUUUUAAUAAAGAAAUCUUCCAUAUUAACAGAUAAUUCAAUCUCAUGUAAUGCUCCUUAUGAUGGUUAAAUGUGCUCUGAUCAUCUUUAAUGAUUAAACAAUUUUCUGAAACAAGACAUGGUUUGUAGUACUGAUUAUUGAGGUCCAUAUCUGUCCAUCUUCCAUGCCGCUUAUACUCUACUCGGGACGGGAGUGCUGGAUGAUUACUGACAGCAGCGGUAUCAGAGUAAAGAGGUUAGGAGAAUGUUCUGGGAACCUUCUAGGAACAUAAAUAGAACAUUUCCUUUAGGUUAGGAGAACUUUCUGGGA
Onychostoma macrolepis is the source of this 5750-nucleotide RNA transcript. It is a transcript of the gene named GTPase IMAP family member 9-like, with no coding region annotated. The transcript has 3 exons. The record is from RefSeq and is a predicted model, not a curated record. NCBI's taxonomy places the organism in Eukaryota, Metazoa, Chordata, Actinopteri, Cypriniformes, Cyprinidae.